This 207-nucleotide ribosomal RNA is filed under the name uncultured delta proteobacterium. RNAcentral's name for it is "partial 16S ribosomal RNA". It matches the Rfam family "Bacterial small subunit ribosomal RNA", at positions 568 to 774 of the family's 1533-position model. Lineage: Bacteria; Deltaproteobacteria. The record is from RNAcentral.
GAUGUAGGUGGCUUUGUAAGUCAGAUGUGAAAGCCCCGGGCUCAACUCGGGAAGUGCAUUUGAUACUGCGAAGCUUGAGUGCUAGAGAGGUUACUAGAAUACCUGGUGUAGUGGUGAAAUACGUAGAUAUCAGGUGGAAUACCGGCGGCGAAGGCGGGUAACCAGCUAGACACUGACACUGAGAUCCGAAAGUGUGGGGAUCAAACA